This 497-nucleotide ribosomal RNA is filed under the name uncultured bacterium. Its description in RNAcentral is "partial 16S ribosomal RNA". It matches the Rfam family "Bacterial small subunit ribosomal RNA", at positions 28 to 507 of the family's 1533-position model. The record is from RNAcentral.
GAUGAACGCUGGCGGCGUGCCUAAUACAUGCCAGUCGAGCGAACAGACGAGGAGCUUGCUCCUCUGACGUUAGCGGCGGACGGGUGAGUAACACAUGGAUAACCUACCUAUAAGACUGGGAUAACUUCGGGAAACCGGAGCUAAUACCGGAUAAUAUAUUGAACCGCAUGGUUCAAUAGUGAAAGACGGUUUUGCUGUCACUUAUAGAUGGAUCCGCGCCGCAUUAGCUAGUUGGUAAGGUAACGGCUUACCAAGGCAACGAUGCGUAGCCGACCUGAGAGGGGGAUCGGCCACACUGGAACUGAGACACGGUCCAGACUCCUACGGGAGGCAGCAGUAGGGAAUCUUCCGCAAUGGGCGAAAGCCUGACGGAGCAACGCCGCGUGAGUGAUGAAGGUCUUCGGAUCGUAAAACUCUGUUAUUAGGGAAGAACAAAUGUGUAAGUAACUAUGCACGUCUUGACGGUACCUAAUCAGGAAGCCACGGCUAACUACGUG